Molecule: ribosomal RNA, 246 nt
Filed under: uncultured bacterium
Lineage: Bacteria
Description: partial 16S ribosomal RNA
Rfam family: Bacterial small subunit ribosomal RNA
Source: RNAcentral
GAUCCGGCUCAGGACGAACGCUGGCGGCGCGCCUAACACAUGCAAGUCGAACGAGAGAGAGGAAGCUUGCUUCCUCAAUCGAGUGGCGAACGGGUGAGUAACGCGUGAGGAACCUGCCUCAAAGAGGGGGACAACAGUUGGAAACGACUGCUAAUACCGCAUAAGCCCACGGGUCGGCAUCGACCAGAGGGAAAAGGAGCAAUCCGCUUUGAGAUGGCCUCGCGUCCGAUUAGCUAGUUGGUGAGG